Molecule: ribosomal RNA, 518 nt
Filed under: Mycalesis mineus (dark-brand bushbrown)
Lineage: Eukaryota; Metazoa; Arthropoda; Insecta; Lepidoptera; Nymphalidae
Description: partial 16S ribosomal RNA
Rfam family: Archaeal large subunit ribosomal RNA (bases 381-518)
Source: RNAcentral
UUUUUGAUAAUAAUUUAAAGUCUAAUCUGCCCACUGAUUUAUUAAAGGGCUGCAGUAUAUUAACUGUACAAAGGUAGCAUAAUCAUUAGUUUUUUAAUUGAAAACUUGUAUGAAAGAUUUGAUGAAAUAUUAACUGUCUCUUAAUUAUUAAUAAAACUUUAUUUUUUAGUUAAAAAGCUAAAAUAAAUUUAAAAGACGAGAAGACCCUAUAGAGUUUUAUAUUUGAGUUUUAUUUUAAAUAUAUAUAUAAAUUAAUAUUAAUAAAAUUAAAUAUUAUAUUGGGGUGAUAGAAAAAUUUAAUUAACUUUUUUUAAAUAAUAAACAUAAAUAAGUGAAUAAAUGAUCCAUUUAUAAUGAUUACAAGAAAAAAUUACCUUAGGGAUAACAGCGUAAUAUUUUUUUUUAGUACAUAUAAAAAAAAAAGAUUGCGACCUCGAUGUUGGAUUAAGAUAAAAUUUAAAUGCAAAAGUUUAAAAUUUUGAUCUGUUCGAUCAUUAAAAUCUUACAUGAUCUGAGCU